UACAGAGGUCCCGAGCGUUGUUCGGAUUUAUUGGGCGUAAAGGGUGCGUAGGCGGCGGAGUAAGUUGGGUGUGAAAUCCCGGGGCUUAACCUCGGAAUUGCAUUCAAUACUGCUUCGCUUGAGUACUGGAGAGGAGGCUGGAAUUUACGGUGUAGCAGUGAAAUGCGUAGAUAUCGUAAGGAAGACCAGUGGCGAAGGCGAGUCUCUGGACAGUUACUGACGCUGAGGCACGAAGGCCAGGGGAGCAAACGGG
RNAcentral lists this ribosomal RNA (253 nucleotides) under uncultured bacterium. Its description in RNAcentral is "partial 16S ribosomal RNA". It matches the Rfam family "Bacterial small subunit ribosomal RNA", at positions 524 to 776 of the family's 1533-position model. The record is from RNAcentral.